RNAcentral lists this long non-coding RNA (1813 nucleotides) under Cricetulus griseus (Chinese hamster). RNAcentral describes it as "lncRNA (ENSCGRG00015042034.1)". The record is from RNAcentral. Lineage: Eukaryota; Metazoa; Chordata; Mammalia; Rodentia; Cricetidae.
AUCAGAAUCCUGUCUUGUGAUCAUUCUGUCAUGUCUCUUGUCCCCAUUCCCCUCCCUGGACUUCUUGCUCUAGGUUGCUGUCCUGCGGGUUGGGACAACUACACCAGGAGGGCAAAAUGGGGGUGUCUGACCUCUUGGAACUGGAGUUACUACUUUUGUGAACCACCUAACAAGGAUGCUGGAAUCCAAACUCCGACAGAGCUGUAAGUAUUCUAGCUCAAAGAGUGUGGCGUGUGUGAAAAGAACUGAAAUAACUCUGACUGAAGCACUUCUAGAGAGCCACCCGCCCUGUGAGCCUGAGCAGCCACUCCCACUUUGCCCUUCAGAAUUACUGGCUCAUGGAAGACACAAGCACAAUAGAAGCAUCAUUCAUGCCACUAAAUCUUCAUUUUACAGGUAACUGGAAAAGAUUUUAUAUAUGCCAUGACAGUUUUACCUUUAUCAUUUAUUAACUGUGUUGCUCAGAACAGGCUAGGUAAACUAGGAGAAACCAGAAACAAGCAGCCUCAAUGACUUUAAUAAAACCACUCCAUUUGUCUAAAUAACAAAAGAUUAUAUCUGAGUUUGUUUAAAGAUGACUUAUACUGCAUAUUCAUGGUAGGUCAACAGGAAGGCUCUCCUCAUUCUGGUUAAUCAGGGACUCAGCUAUUUGGCACUGCCAUUCAUUGAGAUAACAGGUAACAGAAUUCUGUGAAGUCUUGCACCAGUAGUUACAUGUUAGACCUGGAAAUGAUACAUGUCAUUUCUGCUCACAGUUCACCCAUCAAAACUAAGAAGAUGACACUCCCACCCCACACCCCAGAAAAUGUUGGGAUCGUUAGUCUUGUCAUGUCCUUAAAAUGAAGGAACCCGGAAAGACUUGAAUUUGUCUUGGAUUUGGGGUUUUGUUUUUCGAAGUACUGAGGAUCAAACCCCAGGCUUCAUGCAUGCUAGACAAGCAGUGUGUUAUAGCAGCAUCCCUUAGAAAAAAAUAGGCAAACAGAAAUAAAGAUUAUCACACAAAGAUAUCGCAAGACUAGCCUUUCAAGCCCAAACCUCACCUUAAAUUGUGGGUCCAAGGUAAUACUCAUUUCUCCCUCACAAGGCCAGUGCCUUUUAUUGCUACCUUUUUACCAUACUGAACAACAUCUGUAUCUAAUCUUACCUAUCCUGCUGCACAUUGUCUGCAUAUAAAGCAGUGGUUUAGUGGUAUCCAUGGAAACCAAGUCUAUCUGGUGGUUCUGCUAAACCAUUAAUCACAGUUUGGGAUUCUCUCUCUUUCUCUCUCUCUUUCUCCUUCCCUUCCUCCCUCUCUUUCUGUCCCUCUGUCUCUUCAUGUCUGUCUUUCCUUUAUCAGAGACAAAAUCAAAUUUGCAUAAAGAAUUUAUUGUUCUUUCAACCUAACAUAAAUAAUAUAACUUGAACUCACGUCUCUGAUGUAAAGUUAACUAAGAAGUAUAAGAAAAAAAGAAAAGAUUUUUAGAAAACGAGAUUUUAGAAAAAGGAAAGAUAACAAGUAAAGAUAUGUGUGGACUGACAAACACUUGGAUGUGAAUUCUAGAUGAAGUGUUAAAUUCAAGCACCUAGACUUCUCACUUACUCACUUCUUAAUAUUGUAAAAGUUUUACAUUUACAUAUACCACAGGAGGCUAACAAUGCUACUCAACAGUAAGAUAGUUGUAAGGAUAAAAUAGCUGGAAUAACAAAUUAACCAAGUAAGCCUGAAUCAAAAUUAAAAUUACCAUUCAAUUUGAAAGUAUUAGUAUUACAUCUGCUUUAAACAGAGGAACAAUGGCUACUGUAAUGGGUCUCUGAUAAAUUCUGAAGAUGUGUG